Molecule: long non-coding RNA, 114 nt
Organism: Strigops habroptila (Kakapo)
Lineage: Eukaryota; Metazoa; Chordata; Aves; Psittaciformes; Psittacidae
Exons: 3
Source: RefSeq, a predicted model, not a curated record
GGGUAUCUAUAGGUAUCUCUAGGUGUCUAUGGGGUAUCUAUAGGUGCCUCUAGGGUGCCUAUAGGUAUCUAUAGGUGCCUCUAGGGCAUCUAUAGUGUGCCUACAGGUAUCUAU